CUGAAAAUUAUGCGACUAAGAUAAAAGUCAGACAAUGUAAAGCAAUAGAGAAUCAAUCUUAUUUUAGAUGAAACAAGUAUCCACUAGGUCAAUCUAACAUAAAGAUAAAAGGGUAGAUAAUGCUAAUAUCCUAAUUUAAACAAAUCUUGUAGUUGAUUAAUUAUUGACAGCUAGUCUCUAGGUUCUUAAUUAUUGACAGCUAGUCUCGACAACUGAAACAUUUUCUUGAAUCUCGUCAACCUCCUUUUGAGUCAAUUCUAUAACAUCUUCGAGGUUCUCCCUCUAUUGUUGUAAUGUCUGCAACUUCUUCACAAUUAUCUUCAAUUUCUUUUCACUACAAUAAAGUUUCUUUACUUCCUCACUUGCUUCAAAUUUUAAUGAUUCGACACGCUCCUUAGCUUUGAAAAUCAGCUCUAGCUUCUCAUCUCGAAUCGUCUUAUCAACCAAAUUGGAUCAUUCUUGGUCAUAUGAAGCAGCAAGCUGGAAAAGAGAAUCCAGUAAACACUCUAAUAGAGAAAGAUCUAAAAUAUAUUCACCUUUUUCAUAUCCUCGAAAAUCUCAAUGAUUUGCUCCCUAUAAGAUGAGAGCAGUUCUGCACGAGUUUUUGAGAGUCUAUUGCAAAUAUCAUCCCUAAGUCCCAAGAUGAAUUCUUUUUUGUCAUUAACGACAAUGCUCUUUCCUUCAAAAAUAGACACUCCUGCAUUUGUCAUUGGUGGAACGCGAGUUAUCCCGUUUGAAGUUUGUCUUUUUAGUGCUUUGCCAUGAAGAAGAGAUGAUGACUUUGAAGAAAACUUCACUUUAGACGUAGGUCCUCCAAUAGAUUCAUUAUUCACUUGCGGCUUGUCAUAUGGGAAUACCAUAGGAUGCCAAUGGCAUUUAACUGUGUAAGGAAAAGGCAAAGAAAGUGAGUAAUUUUUAAUAAAGCGAUUCGUUCAAAAAAACUUUAAAAGGGGGAAAAAGGCAAUGUCAUUGUGUUUUACCUCUUUGUUACAAGUUGUAUGCAUUC
Molecule: long non-coding RNA, 1006 nt
Filed under: Nicotiana benthamiana
Lineage: Eukaryota; Viridiplantae; Streptophyta; Magnoliopsida; Solanales; Solanaceae
Description: long non-coding RNA (NBEN_LNC006859)
Source: RNAcentral